This 467-nucleotide ribosomal RNA is filed under the name uncultured bacterium. RNAcentral's name for it is "partial 16S ribosomal RNA". It matches the Rfam family "Bacterial small subunit ribosomal RNA", at positions 28 to 507 of the family's 1533-position model. The record is from RNAcentral.
GAUGAACGCUGGCGGCGUGCUUAACACAUGCAAGUCGAACGGAAAGGCCCAAGCUUGCUUGGGUACUCGAGUGGCGAACGGGUGAGUAACACGUGGGUGAUCUGCCCUGCACUUCGGGAUAAGCCUGGGAAACUGGGUCUAAUACCGGAUAGGACGAUGGUUUGGAUGCCAUUGUGGAAAGUUUUUUCGGUGUGGGAUGAGCUCGCGGCCUAUCAGCUUUUUGGUGGGGUAAUGGCCUACCAAGGCGUCGACGGGUAGCCGGCCUGAGAGGGUGUACGGCCACAUUGGGACUGAGAUACGGCCCAGACUCCUACGGGAGGCAGCAGUGGGGAAUAUUGCACAAUGGGCGCAAGCCUGAUGCAGCGACGCCGCGUGGGGGAUGACGGCCUUCGGGUUGUAAACUCCUUUCGCUAGGGACGAAGCGUUUUGUGACGGUACCUGGAGAAGAAGCACCGGCUAACUACGUG